RNAcentral lists this transfer RNA (65 nucleotides) under Mytilus edulis (blue mussel). Its description in RNAcentral is "tRNA-Pro". The record is from RNAcentral. RNAcentral also lists the same sequence under 1 other name. Lineage: Eukaryota; Metazoa; Mollusca; Bivalvia; Mytilida; Mytilidae.
CUAGAUAUAGUUUAAAAUAAAACAUCGGCUUUGGGAGCUAAAGACAUCCUCAUGGGUUUUCUAGA